Non-coding RNA from Pelobates cultripes (western spadefoot toad), 204 nucleotides. The record is from the annotation of a GenBank genome assembly. Lineage: Eukaryota; Metazoa; Chordata; Amphibia; Anura; Pelobatidae.
CUGCUGACUCCCAUAGUCCCUCCCACCCUCUGAGUAAGAUCUGGCAGCGAUCCUGCUCUGCUUGCCAGGUCUCCUCCAUGCGGUCCAGUGAGUGAGGGGAAGAGGUGGGGCAAGAGCCAUGGGAAGUUAGGUCACUUCCUGUGGCUCCUGUCCUGCAAGUGAGGAGAAAGAUAAGCCUCGCAGAGACACCAGGUAAGGUCUUCC